UCUAAAGUAAAAGCAAAUUUACUGUAAAUAAGCUUAUUCAGUACGGGUUUUGAUAGCACCGGAUUGUAUCCCCUUGAUUAUCAAGCGUCGUUUGUUUGACUUUGUUAUUGUGAGAAAUGCAGAAAUGAAAACGUUUAUUUUCAACGGAUUCCUUGGGCGUUUCAAGAAAAAUAAAAGAAACAUGGUCAAAAUGUUGGUGGUAACUAAGAUGAACAAUUGAAAAACAUUAGUGGCUGGAAAAAAAUCAAGUCAUGUGCAGUGACUAGAAUGAAUACAACACAAAUUAUCAGAUUGGAAUCUUAUGUAGUAUUGAGAGUGGAUUUUUUUACAAUGGACCAGACCUCAUGACAAAUGUACAGCUGAUGGUAAUAACAAAUGUUCUCUUUGUGCUGCUAUUUUAUCCAACAGUAUUUGACUGUUAUGAUAAGUUUUGAAUUUUUUUCACCAUACUUGAAUUACAUCAUCCAAUUUGACACACACCUGUAGAUUGUUCUUGCUUCUUUCACAUUAUUUGACAAAGUAAACAAAAACAGGAAAUUGACUGUAAAAUAUUCAUUUUUAUCAAUUUGGAGAACUUUUCUAUGUUUUUCACCAUGUAUCAAUAUUAAUCUAAGCUGAAUUGUUGUUCAAAUGAAGAUCUAUAAGCCUAUUAUUGACAAAUAGGUGAACAAAAUCUUUCUAUGACAUUGAAUACUGUAUAUUGAAAAUAUAUUUAUCAUUGUUAUCAUUGUUAGACAUUUAUUUCAUUCAUUCAACCAGUCAGAUAGUGUCAAACUGAAAUUUAUGUGCUUGUUUUGUACAAUAAACUGGAUGUAAAUCAAUGAAAUCACUGAAUGGUAAAAAAAAAUGUGUUCCCUGAGUGACAAAUAAUCUGGCCUGUGUAAGAAAAGUCAUUUUCAGGAGCAAAUAUUGUAAAACAAGCUAUUCCGCAAUCUUAUUUUGUCUUUUUUUAUUUGCUGAAGAACAUAUAUUUUGUAAAAUCAAAUAAAAAUGCAUAUCGUAUUUUACUACUAGUUCAUUUCUAUACUGUUUCAUGAGUUUUGAAGCAAAUAUCCAUGUCCAUUGAGACAAAAAAUCUGAAGUACUGCUGUUUUUCUUCAAAAUCUUUGACAGAAUCU
Ruditapes philippinarum (Manila clam) is the source of this 1118-nucleotide long non-coding RNA. RefSeq lists it as uncharacterized. The record is from RefSeq and is a predicted model, not a curated record. The transcript is spliced from 3 exons. NCBI's taxonomy places the organism in Eukaryota, Metazoa, Mollusca, Bivalvia, Venerida, Veneridae.